AUUGAACGCUGGCGGCAUGCCUUACACAUGCAAGUCGAACGGUAACGGGCCUUCGGGUGCCGACGCGUGGCGAACGGGUGAGUAAUACACCGGAACGUGCCCGAUCGUGGGGGUUAACGAGGCGAAAGCUUUGCUAAUAUCGCAUACGAUCGACGGUUGAAAUCAGGGGACCGCAAGGCCUUGCGCGGGCGGAGCGGGCGAUGGGCGAGUAGGUAGUUGGUGGGGUAAAGGUUUUGCAAGACGACGGUUUGUAUGUGGUCUGAGAGGGUGAUCAGCCACACUAGAACUGAGACACGGCCCAGACUCCUGCGAGACGCAGCAGUGUGGUAUGUUAGACAGUGGGCGCAAGUCUGAUCCAGCCAUGCCGCGUGCAGGAUGACGGCCUUCGGGUUGUGAACAGCUUUUGUACGGAACGAACAGCCUUCUUUUGAUACGGGAGGGUCAUGACGGUACCGGAAGAAUAAGCACCGGCUAACUACGUG
This 482-nucleotide ribosomal RNA is filed under the name uncultured bacterium. Its description in RNAcentral is "partial 16S ribosomal RNA". It matches the Rfam family "Bacterial small subunit ribosomal RNA", at positions 30 to 507 of the family's 1533-position model. The record is from RNAcentral.